Molecule: ribosomal RNA, 465 nt
Filed under: Vreelandella stevensii
Lineage: Bacteria; Pseudomonadati; Pseudomonadota; Gammaproteobacteria; Oceanospirillales; Halomonadaceae
Description: partial 16S ribosomal RNA
Rfam family: Bacterial small subunit ribosomal RNA
Source: RNAcentral
CCUACGGGAGGCUGCAGUGGGGAAUAUUGGACAAUGGGGGCAACCCUGAUCCAGCCAUGCCGCGUGUGUGAAGAAGGCCCUCGGGUUGUAAAGCACUUUCAGUGAGGAAGAACGCCUGGUGGUUAAUACCCAUCAGGAAAGACAUCACUCACAGAAGAAGCACCGGCUAACUCCGUGCCAGCAGCCGCGGUAAUACGGAGGGUGCGAGCGUUAAUCGGAAUUACUGGGCGUAAAGCGCGCGUAGGUGGCUUGAUAAGCCGGUUGUGAAAGCCCCAGGCUCAACCUGGGAACGGCAUCCGGAACUGUCAAGCUAGAGUGCAGGAGAGGAAGGUAGAAUUCCCGGUGUAGCGGUGAAAUGCGUAGAGAUCGGGAGGAAUACCAGUGGCGAAGGCGGCCUUCUGGACUGACACUGACACUGAGGUGCGAAAGCGUGGGUAGCAAACAGGAUUAGAUACCCUAGUAGUC